This 56-nucleotide small nuclear RNA is filed under the name Lepisosteus oculatus (spotted gar). RNAcentral describes it as "U7 small nuclear RNA". It matches the Rfam family "U7 small nuclear RNA". From Rfam's summary of the family: Animal histone pre-mRNAs are spliced by a different mechanism than nuclear pre-mRNAs and self-splicing introns. This processing involves the U7 snRNP, which contains only one RNA species: U7. Lineage: Eukaryota; Metazoa; Chordata; Actinopteri; Semionotiformes; Lepisosteidae. The record is from Rfam by way of RNAcentral.
GAAUGCUUGCCCUUUUAGUAUUUCUCUAGAAGGCUUUCUCAAGUCAGAAAGCCCGU